Molecule: long non-coding RNA, 1669 nt
Organism: Gasterosteus aculeatus aculeatus (three-spined stickleback)
Lineage: Eukaryota; Metazoa; Chordata; Actinopteri; Perciformes; Gasterosteidae
Source: Ensembl
AGACAAUUACGCGCGGAUUACGCGGCGGCGAAGCACUGCUUUGUGUUGUUAUUCUUUCGUGGGGUUUUUUCCCUUUACAACGCAGCAAGAGCAUCGUCCGACCCGCUUGUCGCCGUGCGCGAGGAGGAGGAGGAGGAGCGGGAGGAGAGCCAGCUGAGCUCCGGGAAGAGGGAACAUGUGGCACCUGCUAGGUACCACGCUCAAGGGAUGUCCACGCUUGGAUGAAUCCAGGAGGAGGUUGGCUGUGCAGUGGGAGCGUAUGAACAGAGAGGGUGUCCAAGCCUCCUCCUGCAGCACAGCAAGCAGUUCACAGGCUUCGACGAGAGCUCUGGAAUGUCACAGAGAUUAGGAGCUUUUGCCUCCCGCACCCGACGGAUCGGCUCUGACUGCCCCCCCAUCCUGUGCCCGCGCCUCCUUCCUCCCAAGCAGGGAUUCCCACCAAGUGUACCAGCCACUUUAAGAACAUGCGAGAGUGCAAGAUGAGCACCGAGGAGGGAAGGGUGACAUCACGGGACAGAAAGAGGACGCAAGGUGAUCAUCGACGGCUGCGAAGUGACGGACGAGGCAGAGUUCUCGUCACCUGCACUCAGCACAAUGACGCCCAGGAACACACGUCACUUCUGCCCGACUGACCACUUUUUCUUUAUCGGUGUCAGUGUCACUUUUGUUUGUGUCGUGCUGGAGCGGAUGUCAAAGCUCAGUGUCCUACAGUCUCCCGUGCAGAGCUGUUGUGCUUGAUGGUGAGAAGAAUGGAGUGUGGCUGAAAGACGAAAGAGUCUCUCAAAUGCCCCCUUCUUCUACCAAAUGAUGUGGCAGAGGGUUUUUUUUGUCAUGCAAACACUUGGAUCCAGUCAUGAAGCUGUGGUUCGUCCACCACUUCUGUCCCGACUAAAAUAUCCCAACAUCUGCUCUACAGAUUGGCACACACAGUAUUAAUCAUAAUACUUUUGGUGAUACCAUAACCUGUUCUUUACAGGCACAUUAGUUUAAAUCUCGACAAUAAGAAGGACUGCUAGAUUUCUCCAAAAGUUGGUGCAGAUAUAUACGGUCGGAAGAGGAAGAUUUUUUUUUCUUCAAUAACACAUUGUUUGUGUGUAACAUUGACAGAUUUAGGAGCUGAUCUUCUCUGGUAUGACUUUCAUGAUGGGGGGGUUCCCCUCCAGGGCCAAUGGGGCUGAGACGGAGGCUGUGUGCUCACUAGUGCAGAUGAUUGAGAUGGAUGAAAGGAAGCUUCCUGCCACAAUAUCAGUCACGCAAAUCACAUCCCAAACUACAUCAAUCUCAUUCUCCAGAAAUGGGUUUCUCUGUGCCGGACACGUCGGGGGGCCCGAGCUGUGAGUGAAGGCCGGCCAGAAACCACCAUUAAGAUCCCCUUCAAAGGCAAACCGCCGCCUGAGGUCACACGGCACGAGGAUGGUCGCGGAGGUCAUGGAGGACGAGAGGACCCCGGCGGUGUGUACAGCUGAGAGCACCUCGCUGGUUCCCAGCACCAGCGAGGUGCCAGGAACACAUAUUUAGGGAUUCAGAAGUAAAAGCUGUCUCCUUUAAUGCAGGUUUUAAAUACUACAGAACAACAUAAGCCUCCUGAGAGUAAGAUAGAGUUCAUCGAGCUAUAUGCAAAGUGUAUUAAUUAAAAAAGGAUUUUUUAAUCAUUUAAAUGUCAUUUUAC